Molecule: ribosomal RNA, 329 nt
Filed under: uncultured eukaryote
Lineage: Eukaryota
Description: partial 18S ribosomal RNA
Rfam family: Eukaryotic small subunit ribosomal RNA
Source: RNAcentral
CCCUUAGAUGUUCUGGGCCGCACGCGCGCUACAAUGAUGAAUUCAACGAGUUUAUAACCUUGGUUGAAAAGCCUGGGUAAUCUUUUGAACUUUCGUCGUGAUGGGGCGAGACCCUUGCAAUUAUUGGUCUCCAACGAGGAAUUCCUAGUAAACGCAAGUCAUCAGCUUGCAUUGAUUACGUCCCUGCCCUUUGUACACACCGCCCGUCGCACCUACCGAUUGAAUGGUCCGGUGAAAUCUUCGGAUUGAGACUUUGUUUUCUUCACGGAAAACGCUGUUUUAAAAAGUUGAUUAAACCUUACCAUUUAGAGGAAGGUGAAGUCGCAACA